This 620-nucleotide ribosomal RNA is filed under the name Acinetobacter sp. DsA.N024. RNAcentral's name for it is "bacterial SSU rRNA". It matches the Rfam family "Bacterial small subunit ribosomal RNA", at positions 55 to 672 of the family's 1533-position model. Lineage: Bacteria; Pseudomonadati; Pseudomonadota; Gammaproteobacteria; Moraxellales; Moraxellaceae. The record is from RNAcentral.
CUGCAGUCGAGCGGAGAGAGGUAGCUUGCUACUGAUCUUAGCGGCGGACGGGUGAGUAACUUAGGAAUCUGCCUAUUAGUGGGGGACAACAUUUCGAAAGAAAUGCUAAUACCGCAUACGUCCUACGGGAGAAAGCAGGGGAUCUUCGGACCUUGCGCUAAUAGAUGAGCCUAAGUCGGAUUAGCUAGUUGGUGGGGUAAAGGCCUACCAAGGCGACGAUCUGUAGCGGGUCUGAGAGGAUGAUCCGCCACACUGGGACUGAGACACGGCCCAGACUCCUACGGGAGGCAGCAGUGGGGAAUAUUGGACAAUGGGCGCAAGCCUGAUCCAGCCAUGCCGCGUGUGUGAAGAAGGCCUUAUGGUUGUAAAGCACUUUAAGCGAGGAGGAGGCUACUUUAGUUAAUACCUAGAGAUAGUGGACGUUACUCGCAGAAUAAGCACCGGCUAACUCUGUGCCAGCAGCCGCGGUAAUACAGAGGGUGCAAGCGUUAAUCGGAUUUACUGGGCGUAAAGCGCGCGUAGGUGGCUAAUUAAGUCAAAUGUGAAAUCCCCGAGCUUAACUUGGGAAUUGCAUUCGAUACUGGUUGGCUAGAGUGUGGGAGAGGAUGGUAGAAUUCCAG